Molecule: transfer RNA, 72 nt
Filed under: Marmota marmota marmota (Alpine marmot)
Lineage: Eukaryota; Metazoa; Chordata; Mammalia; Rodentia; Sciuridae
Also listed under: 1 other name
Rfam family: tRNA
About the family: Transfer RNA (tRNA) molecules are approximately 80 nucleotides in length. Their secondary structure includes four short double-helical elements and three loops (D, anti-codon, and T loops). Further hydrogen bonds mediate the characteristic L-shaped molecular structure. tRNAs have two regions of fundamental functional importance: the anti-codon, which is responsible for specific mRNA codon recognition, and the 3' end, to which the tRNAs corresponding amino acid is attached (by aminoacyl-tRNA synthetases). tRNAs cope with the degeneracy of the genetic code in two manners: having more than one tRNA (with a specific anti-codon) for a particular amino acid; and 'wobble' base-pairing, i.e. permitting non-standard base-pairing at the 3rd anti-codon position.
Source: Rfam by way of RNAcentral
UGGGAUGUGGCUCAGUGGUAGAGCACUUGCCUAGCAUGUGUGAGGCCCUGGGUUCGAUUCUCAGCACCACAU